UAACACGUGGGGAACCUGCCCCAUAGUCCGGGAUACCACUUGGAAACAGGUGCUAAUACCGGAUAAGAAAGCAGAUCGCAUGAUAAGCUUUUAAAAGGCGGCGUAAGCUGUCGCUAUGGGAUGGCCCCGCGGUGCAUUAGCUAGUUGGUAAGGUAAAGGCUUACCAAGGCGAUGAUGCAUAGCCGAGUUGAGAGACUGAUCGGCCACAUUGGGACUGAGACACGGCCCAAACUCCUACGGGAGGCAGCAGCU
Molecule: ribosomal RNA, 252 nt
Filed under: uncultured Lactobacillus sp.
Lineage: Bacteria; Bacillati; Bacillota; Bacilli; Lactobacillales; Lactobacillaceae
Description: partial 16S ribosomal RNA
Rfam family: Bacterial small subunit ribosomal RNA
Source: RNAcentral